This 433-nucleotide ribosomal RNA is filed under the name uncultured bacterium. RNAcentral describes it as "partial 16S ribosomal RNA". It matches the Rfam family "Bacterial small subunit ribosomal RNA", at positions 29 to 507 of the family's 1533-position model. The record is from RNAcentral.
AACGAACGCUGGCGGCAUGCCUAACACAUGCAAGUCGAACGAGACCUUCGGGUCUAGUGGCGCACGGGUGCGUAACGCGUGGGAACCUGCCCUUAGGUUCGGAAUAACUCCCCGAAAGGGGUGCUAAUACCGGAUAAUGUCUUCGGACCAAAGAUUUAUCGCCUUUGGAUGGGCCCGCGUUGGAUUAGCUAGUUGGUAGGGUAAAAGCCUACCAAGGCGACGAUCCAUAGCUGGUCUGAGAGGAUGAUCAGCCACACUGGGACUGAGACACGGCCCAGACGCCUACGGGAGGCAGCAGUGGGGAAUAUUGGACAAUGGGCGAAAGCCUGAUCCAGCAAUGCCGCGUGAGUGAUGAAGGCCUUAGGGUUGUAAAGCUCUUGUACCCGGGAUGAUAAUGACAGUACCGGGAGAAUAAGCGCCGGCUAACUCCGUG